UACGAAGGGUGCAAACGUUGCUCGGAAUUAUUGGGCGUAAAGCGCUCGUAGGCGGCUUAGCAAGUCGGAUGUGAAAGCCCACGGCUCAACCGUGGAGGGUCAUUGGAAACUGGGGAACUUGAGUACAGAAGAGGAAAGCGGAAUUCCACGUGUAGCGGUGAAAUGCGUAGAGAUGUGGAGGAACACCAGUGGCGAAGGCGGCUUUCUGGUCUGUAACUGACGCUGAGGCGCGAAAGCGUGGGGAGCAAACAGG
Molecule: ribosomal RNA, 253 nt
Filed under: uncultured bacterium
Lineage: Bacteria
Description: partial 16S ribosomal RNA
Rfam family: Bacterial small subunit ribosomal RNA
Source: RNAcentral